CUUGGUCCAUUAGAGGAAGUAAAAGUCGUAACAAGGUCUCCGUUGGUGAACCAGCGGAGGGAUCAUUACCGAGUUAUACAACUCAUCAACCCUGUGAACAUACCUAAAACGUUGCUUCGGCGGGAACAGACGGCCCCGUAACACGGGCCGCCCCCGCCAGAGGACCCCCUAACUCUGUUUCUAUUAUGUUUCUUCUGAGUAAAACAAGCAAAUAAAUUAAAACUUUCAACAACGGAUCUCUUGGCUCUGGCAUCGAUGAAGAACGCAGCGAAAUGCGAUAAGUAAUGUGAAUUGCAGAAUUCAGUGAAUCAUCGAAUCUUUGAACGCACAUUGCGCCCGCCAGUAUUCUGGCGGGCAUGCCUGUUCGAGCGUCAUUACAACCCUCAGGCCCCCGGGCCUGGCGUUGGGGAUCGGCGAGGCGCCCCCUGCGGGCACACGCCGUCCCCCAAAUACAGUGGCGGUCCCGCCGCAGCUUCCAUUGCGUAGUAGCUAACACCUCGCAACUGGAGAGCGGCGCGGCCACGCCGUAAAACACCCAACUUCUGAAUGUUGACCUCGAAUCAGGUAGGAAUACCCGCUGAACUUAAGCAUAUCAAU
This 597-nucleotide ribosomal RNA is filed under the name Fusarium sp. Sn335. RNAcentral describes it as "eukaryotic LSU rRNA". The stretch from base 221 to 374 matches the Rfam family "5.8S ribosomal RNA". The record is from RNAcentral. Lineage: Eukaryota; Fungi; Ascomycota; Sordariomycetes; Hypocreales; Nectriaceae.